AUCUGCGACUCAUCAAGGUCAAAAACCCAAAUGCUCACAGGGCCUGGGCUAGUGAAGAAAUGGGGGCAGUGGGCCGAGGGGGCAGGACAGAGUGAAGAGCAGGGGCUCGCUCUGCAGCUUCAGGUCAACGUUUCCAAGCAGAAGAUGGGCCCAGGGUUGCCAGCUCCUCAAAGUUUUUUCAAGAGAAGCCAGAAAUCCCAAUUUUUAUAUAAAAAUAAGUUCAUUUAAAAAUGUUAAAAAGUAAUUCAGAUUUUUACAAACCACAAGACCAGCUAGAGAAAAUACAUCUGUGGGCCAGACUUGGCCUCUGGGCCACCAACUGGAACCUGUUGGGCCUCCAAAGAUUCUUGAUAGAGAAGAGAUAUUUGUUUAAAGUAAAAGUAAAAACAUCAUGAGCCAGCCCUGAUGGCCUAGCGGUUAAAGUUCCGCACGCUCACUGCUUUGGAGGCCUGGGGUCAUUUCCCGAUUGCAGAACCACACCGCCUAUCUGUCAGUUGCCAUGCUGUGGCGGCAGCUCACAUAGAAGAACUAGAAGGACUUACAACUAGAAGGUCCAAGAUGGAGCUGGCCGUGCCUGGGGUGUCACGUCAGCAAAUGGAAACUCAGAUCGCCUUCCUGCCCUUGUAAAUGCUCUGUUUGACCAGAAAGCAGUACAUCCAUUCAGCCAAUCUCCAACCACCACACCAAUUCCAGGCAUUCUCACCCCAAGAUUGACUAUAUGGCUCCAGUCAAUCAGAUAUUUUCUAUUUUGCUCUUGCUUGUUCUUUAUUCUUUAUCCUAUAAAAGCUUCCUGCCAUCCACCCCAUUUUGCAGCUCUCUGAAAGGAGACUGUCUACUUCAUGACGUGCUAAAUAAAGUUUGCUUGUAUCACCUAAA
RNAcentral lists this long non-coding RNA (876 nucleotides) under Equus caballus (horse). RNAcentral describes it as "lncRNA (ENSECAG00000049410.1)". Lineage: Eukaryota; Metazoa; Chordata; Mammalia; Perissodactyla; Equidae. The record is from RNAcentral.